GAUGAACGCUGGCGGCGUGCCUAACACAUGCAAGUCGAACGGAGUCCAGCCUUUAAGACCUUCGGGUCAAAGAGGGGAAGACUGAGUGGCGGACGGGUGAGUAACACGUGGGCAACCUGGCUCAUAGAGGGGGAUAACAGAGAGAAAUUUCUGCUAAUACCGCAUAAGCACACCCUGCCGCAUGACAGAGGGUGAAAAGAGAAUCGCUAUGAGAUGGACCCGCGUCUGAUUAGCCAGUUGGCAGGGUAAGAGCCUACCAAAGCGACGAUCAGUAGCCGAUCUGAGAGGAUGAACGGCCACAUUGGGACUGAGACACGGCCCAAACUCCUACGGGAGGCAGCAGUGGGGGAUAUUGCACAAUGGGGGGAACCCUGAUGCAGCGACGCCGCGUGAGUGAAGAAGUAUUUCGGUAUGUAAAGCUCUAUCAGCAGGGAAGAUAAUGACAGUACCUGAAUAAGAAGCCCCGGCUAACUACGUG
Molecule: ribosomal RNA, 478 nt
Filed under: uncultured bacterium
Lineage: Bacteria
Description: partial 16S ribosomal RNA
Rfam family: Bacterial small subunit ribosomal RNA
Source: RNAcentral